AGUAAAAGUCGUAACAAGGUUUCCGUAGGUGAACCUGCGGAAGGAUCAUUAACGAGUUCUGACAUGGGUUGUAGCUGGCCUCACGAGGCAUGUGCACGCCCUGCUCAUCCACUCUACACCUGUGCACUUACUGUAGGUUUGGUGUGGGCUUCGAGGGCCUUCACGGGCCUUUGAGGCAUUCUGCCUGCCUAUGUAUCACUACAAACACUAUAAAGUAACAGAAUGUAAUCGCGUCUAACGCAUCUUAAUACAACUUUCAGCAACGGAUCUCUUGGCUCUCGCAUCGAUGAAGAACGCAGCGAAAUGCGAUAAGUAAUGUGAAUUGCAGAAUUCAGUGAAUCAUCGAAUCUUUGAACGCACCUUACGCUCCUUGGUAUUCCGAGGAGCAUGCCUGUUUGAGUGUCAUGGUAUUCUCAACCCACACAUCCUUGUGAUGCUUGUGAGGCUUGGACUUGGAGGCUUGCUGGCCCGUCGCGGUCGGCUCCUCUUGAAUGCAUUAGCUUGGUUCCUUGCGGAUCGGCUCUCAGUGUGAUAAUUGUCUACGCUGUGACCGUGAAGCGUUUGGCGAGCUUCUAACCGUCCUGCUAGGGACAACUUACUUGACAUCUGACCUCAAAUCAGGUAGGACUACCCGCUGAACUUAAGCAUAUCAAUAAGCGGAGGAAAAGAAACUAACAAGGAUUCCCCUAGUAACUGCGAGUGAAGCGGGAAAAGCUCAAAUUUAAAAUCUGGCGG
Molecule: ribosomal RNA, 735 nt
Filed under: uncultured fungus
Lineage: Eukaryota; Fungi
Description: eukaryotic LSU rRNA
Rfam family: 5.8S ribosomal RNA (bases 252-405)
Source: RNAcentral